RNAcentral lists this ribosomal RNA (269 nucleotides) under uncultured Planctomycetales bacterium. Its description in RNAcentral is "partial 16S ribosomal RNA". It matches the Rfam family "Bacterial small subunit ribosomal RNA", at positions 565 to 832 of the family's 1533-position model. The record is from RNAcentral. Lineage: Bacteria; Pseudomonadati; Planctomycetota; Planctomycetia; Planctomycetales.
GAGCACGUAGGUGGGUUUGUAAGUCAGAUGUGAAAGCCUUCUGUUCAACGGAAGAAUUGCAUCUGAAACUGCGAGUCUUGAGUGUAGGAGGGGAGAAUAGAACUUCUGGUGGAGCGGUGAAAUGCGUAGAUAUCAGAAGGAACUCCGGCGGCGAAAGCGAUUCUCUGGCCUAUUACUGACACUCAGUGUGCGAAAGCUAGGGGAGCAAACGGGAUUAGAUACCCCGGUAGUCCUAGCCGUAAACGAUGGGCACUAAGUAGAGGGGUUUU